AUUUAUUUGUACCCUAAGCAGCGCUGUCAUAGGACAGACAGGCUGCUUCAGCCAACCAGGCUGGAGCAGCUGCGAGUGCUACAUCUUGGCAGUCUGAAGCGAUUGGCUCCUCUCUGGGGAGUGGAGGGUGUUCAGUUAUUAAUGACCGCUGAGCAGGCAGCACCGUGUCAGUGUGACAACUGAUCUGGUGAACGAUGCACCACUAACCACCAUGGAAACGAGGAGAAAUAACGCCAGCUAGCAGGAUCUCUCUUCACGGGAUUGAGAGGCUCAGCCUGCUGCUGCCGGAGAGAGUUCCAGUCAAAAGAAGGAAUCCUAGCUGCAGGCUCCUGCCUUCCUUUAUAUUUUAGAAAAAGAGAGAGAGAGAAAGAGAGACACCAUUGCUUGCAUGUGUGCAUAUCUAUAGUAUGUAAUUGUGUGUACUUUAUUACACAUACAUAUGCACCUAUUUAUACUGGGGCAAGAAGACAGCCAUGUGAUUAUUUCAGCCAAGGAACUGAGCAAGCAGGGGCACCGGAGGAGGGCUAUCCCUGCAUCUGCUAAGGCAAGAAGCAACGCCUUUGAGACAGAAUUACUGUCAGUCAACUCAGAGCGUCCAUGGAAUGAUGAUUCACGGAAUACUCUGUGGACCGAUUUUUACUUCCAAUCUUGUAAGAGGAAGCCAGCUACUUAGAAUAUGCUCUCAAAGCGACACCACCAAUUGAGGGUGGCUGUGGAAAUCUUCACUGCCCCUGCAAAUGGGUCCUGUGGAGACAUUAAAACAAACCCAGGGUUCAUAUUUCAUCUGCUGGAGCUUUCUCCUCUCUUCUCUUAGUUCAACUCACAGUUAUCGGAGUCUGCUUUGAAAGUGGGUGCUAUUCUUUUCCCAAACUGUGAUUUCAGACUUACUAGGUUCCUAGCCUAUAACAGAUGGCAGAACAGAAAGACAAUAAGCAGCCACUUAGAUCCUGCCACCUUCCCAUCAAUGUGUCAAAAAAAAUGAGUCGGUUUACAAUAUGUAACGUAAGGAGUCAAUUAAUUCCAGCGACCUCUGUAAACGACGACAAUAAAGCAGUCUGACACUCUGCCGCUGCCUUCGAU
This 1080-nucleotide long non-coding RNA is filed under the name Mus spicilegus (steppe mouse). RNAcentral's name for it is "lncRNA (ENSMSIG00000007817.1)". Lineage: Eukaryota; Metazoa; Chordata; Mammalia; Rodentia; Muridae. The record is from RNAcentral.